This 422-nucleotide ribosomal RNA is filed under the name Ushanaia fervens. RNAcentral describes it as "Alcyoniidae gen. U sp. ferv GMK-2022 partial large subunit ribosomal RNA". Lineage: Eukaryota; Metazoa; Cnidaria; Anthozoa; Malacalcyonacea; Alcyoniidae. The record is from RNAcentral.
UUAGCAAUUCGCCCUGCCASAUUCAGUUGCUCGUGCUCCGCGACGUGCGCGCUCUCGAUCCGCAUGGACGAGACGUGCGCGGGUGCGGCGCUCGGACGGCGCACUUCUGGCGGGCGAGCGUCAGCGUCGGUUGUCGACGGGCGACAAGGAUGCAAGGAAGGUGGACCGGUCUUCGGGCCGGUUGUUAAGCCUUGUGCUCGUAUAGCUCGACGGCGACCGUGGCUCCGAAGAGGCGACGCGUGCCUAGCUGGCGACUCGAACGAUCGGUCUGGCAUGUCGACUGUGGCGGACGGCACGCCUGUGCGCUCGAACUGCUGCCGGUCGAUCGUGCGAUGUUCGCACACUACGCGUCGAAGAUGCUGACGACCAUACGGCUCCAUCCGACCCGUCUUGAAACACGGACCAAGGAGUCAAACAUGUGC